Molecule: ribosomal RNA, 329 nt
Filed under: Cottunculus thomsonii (pallid sculpin)
Lineage: Eukaryota; Metazoa; Chordata; Actinopteri; Perciformes; Psychrolutidae
Description: partial 12S ribosomal RNA
Rfam family: Bacterial small subunit ribosomal RNA
Source: RNAcentral
AUCCGCCCGGGAACUACGAUNNNNAGCUUAAAACCCAAAGGACUUGGCGGUGCUUUAGAUCCACCUAGAGGAGCCUGUUCUAGAACCGAUAACCCCCGUUCAACCUCACCCUUCCUUGUUUUAUCCCGCCUAUAUACCGCCGUCGUCAGCUUACCCUGUGAAGGGACUAUUAGUAAGCAAAACUGGUACAACCUAAAACGUCAGGUCGAGGUGUACCGUAUGGAGGGGGAAGAAAUGGGCUACAUUCGCUACUACAGCGAACACGGAAUAGUGUACUGAAACAUACACUUGAAGGAGGAUUUAGCAGUAAGCAGGAAAUAGAGCGUCCC